Molecule: long non-coding RNA, 1773 nt
Organism: Felis catus (domestic cat)
Lineage: Eukaryota; Metazoa; Chordata; Mammalia; Carnivora; Felidae
Exons: 7
Source: RefSeq, a predicted model, not a curated record
GCCCCGGAGGUCGGCUCGUGACGUCUACGUAGGACCCGCCGGCUCUCCGCGAGUUCUCGCGAGAGUUUGUCUGCCAAGGACUAAGUGCGGCGAGCUGCUUUUUUGUUUUUUCAGUGAGUGUGUGCUUGUAGCUUUAAUUGGUUCCUUUGGCUGGAAGGUGGGGCCUCACCGGGCAACGAAACUGGUACCGAGGCUGAGCAGACACUCUCUGCGUAGGAUCAUCAUGCCGAGCAUAAACUGGACUUUCCCACUUGCCUGGCAGGAGUGAGACAGAUCACUGUCUGCUAAAUGAGCAUCUGAGUUUCCCAAGGUCACUUGUGGUUUGGAAGCAGAUGAUCCUCCUUCUGACAAAUUAUCAGAAGGUCAAUAGUAGCCUAAUGCUAAAUCAUAAUGCCUACAUCAUUCACCUCACUUCAUCUCAUUAUGUAGGAUUGUAUCAUCUCAUAUCAUCACAAGAAGGAUGUCCUUGGCGUGUGCACCCUUGUGGAAUCCGGUUCAUCUCCAAUCUGUCAAGAAGCAUCAGAGGUGGUUUUGAUUCCUUAUGUCCUGAGCCUGUGCACAAAAUGUUGAUUCUCAAAUGGAAGCAAACAUCUGGAAUUAGCUAAAAGAAUCAACUAGAAGCUUUGUUGAACAGAGAUUCCUGGGCUCCAUCCAACAUUCUUGAUUCAAGAAAGGGGAAAUAACAUAUUUUUGUGCUGAGGGGAAUAAACCAAAAGAAAAAAAAUGAUGGUGGAGAAGAAAGAGGAGAAUUUCUGGAAUAAUAUCCUUGAGAAGACCUUGUGUGGAAGAAAAUGAGAUCCCGAGUGAAGUCUACAAUGUCAUUGACUCUGAAGAAGGACUCAGAGACCCAUUGGUGUUUAAUGACCCUUACUGGCCUAUGCAAUGGGAACUGGUAUGAUCUUCAGAAAUAGAUGGUUCUUUGGCAAUGUUAAGAAAUAUUAUUUUUGUCAUAUUUUAAUGCAGUAGACAGACACUUUUAUGCACUGCCUGCUUUUAUCUAUUGGUUUUGCAGAGAGAGACUUAGCAAACUUUUGAUGAAAUAUUACUGCCAGCUUAUUAAUGAGUACUAAUCCUUUUAAUUUGAUUACAUCCUUAGGGUUUGAUUUGUUCUAUAAAAGAUACCAGUUUAAAAAAAAAAAAAACUAAGACAUUUAAAUUUGCUGUAUGUAAACAGACUCAUUACACAGAAAUGUUGUUGCCAUCCAGGCUUAAAGUUCUUGUUCUUGCAUAACCAGAAUAUAUUCUAUAUUACAUCAAUAAUGAGAGAAUUCCUCUCUGUCUUUAUGGAUUAAGUAGACAUUAGAACAUUGCACAACAAACUUUUUUUUUCAUAAUGCUUCUAGUGUUGGACGUUUUAGAACCACAUUGUCCUGUCAUUUAUACAUGAUUGUGAUAAUAGAAAGGAUUUGAAAUGAAAAAAAAAUCACACAUAUUUUUUGAAUGUAAAUAACUAAAAAAAAUUUGAAGUACAUACCACUGAAGAUUUUAAAAGGAAAUAUUUGGAAUGUGAGAUGACUUGGUGAAAAUAUCAGAGAAAUUGAAGACCUUCUUAUAUCCAUACUUAGCUCCUCAUAGGUCUAUAAAUAAUAUGGUGUUGUAGAGGGUCUCAUGCUGUAAAAUGAGAAAAAGGCUAAAUGCAUUUCAUCACAUUCAUGGAUAUAAUGAGGUGAAAGAUGGGAAACUGUUGUGGUGGCUGUUUUUUGUGUUGAUCAUUGGUAGUUACCAAGAUGACUAUCUGGAAAGAGUACAAAACCAAUAUUAGAAGAAGUCCAG